AUUGAACGCUGGCGGAAUGCUUUACACACGCAAGUCGAACGGCAGCACGGGGGCAACCCUGGUGGCGAGUGGCGAACGGGUGAGUAAUACAUCGGAACGUGCCCAGUCGUGGGGGAUAACGUAGCGAAAGUUACGCUAAUACCGCAUACGAUCUACGGAUGAAAGCGGGGGACCGUAAGGCCUCGCGCGAUUGGAGGGCCGAUGUCAGAGUAGGUAGUUGGUGAGGUAAAGGCUCACCAAGCCGACGAUCUGUAGCUGGUCUGAGAGGACGACCAGCCACACUGGGACUGAGACACGGCCCAGACUCCUACGGGAGGCAGCAGUGGGGAAUUUUGGACAAUGGGCGCAAGCCUGAUCCAGCCAUUCCGCGUGCAGGACGAAGGCCUUCGGGUUGUAAACUGCUUUUGUACGGAACGAAAAGGCUCUGGUUAAUACCUGGGGCUCAUGACGGUACCGUAAGAAUAAGCACCGGCUAACUACGUGCCAGCCGCCGCAGUAA
RNAcentral lists this ribosomal RNA (499 nucleotides) under uncultured bacterium. Its description in RNAcentral is "partial 16S ribosomal RNA". It matches the Rfam family "Bacterial small subunit ribosomal RNA", at positions 30 to 523 of the family's 1533-position model. The record is from RNAcentral.